CUUCUUCUUCCUCAUUAGUUGCUGCAACGCCAAAACAGAAUUGGAGGAAAGGGAGAGAAGCUCUCAAACCCUAACCCUUUGAUCCACCAUAACUCCUCCGUCCGGGCUCCGAUCGCCGCACUGUUCACGGCCACACGCUCAGCGCGUCGAGCUCUACCUUUCUAUCCGAACAAUUUCACUGGUUCAAGUUAGCUUCCGAAACUUGUGGGCUCAAGCUAUUGAGCAUAUGGGUAUGGUGUAGUUUAAGAGGGUGUUUAUGCAUUGGACUUGAAUUUGGAUUACUUGGAGCUUUGUUGGUGACAAGGCUUACUUUGGGGCUAUUUGAUUGAGCUUGGAGGGGCUGUGAUUUUGAGUUGUGAGGCUGCCUUGGGUGAACUAAGUGAUCGGCCAAGGUAUGGUUCAAGUUUCGCACGUUUAAUAUUUACGGUGUUGUGAAAACUUAGGUUAGAGGAACCAUAGGAUAAGUUAAAUUGUUUGUUCUAUUUAAUGAUUAGCCUUGUAAUGUUGUUGA
This is a non-coding RNA of Arachis ipaensis, 511 nucleotides long. Lineage: Eukaryota; Viridiplantae; Streptophyta; Magnoliopsida; Fabales; Fabaceae. The record is from RefSeq and is a predicted model, not a curated record.